GAGGCGUUAAUAAAAAAAUUAUAUUACUUUGUCAAAGUUAAGUUAUAGGCUAAACCCUUUACACCUCU
Molecule: transfer RNA, 68 nt
Filed under: Bradypus variegatus (Brown-throated sloth)
Lineage: Eukaryota; Metazoa; Chordata; Mammalia; Pilosa; Bradypodidae
Also listed under: 1 other name
Description: tRNA-Asp
Source: RNAcentral